AGGACGAACGCUGGCGGCGUGCUUAACACAUGCAAGUCGAACGAGGUCCACCGCGUAGCAAUACAAGGGAAGACCUAGUGGCGAACGGGUGCGUAACACGCGAGGAACUUGUCCCGGUCUCUGGGAUAACAGUUGGAAACGACUGCUAAUACCAGAUGACGUCGGAAUCUCGCAUGGGAUACUGACGAAAGGGUUACUGGAUCGGGAGAGCCUCGCGGCCUAUCAGCUUGUUGGUGGGGUAAUGGCCCACCAAGGCAUCGACGGGUAGCUGGUCUGAGAGGAUGAUCAGCCACACUGGGACUGAGACACGGCCCAGACUCCUACGGGAGGCAGCAGUGGGGAAUCUUGCGCAAUGGGCGAAAGCCUGACGCAGCAACGCCGCGUGCGGAAGAAGGCCCUCGGGUUGUAAACCGCUUUCAGCAGGAACGAAAUGACGGUACUUGCAGAAGAAGGUGCGGCCAACUACGUGCCAGCCAGGCGC
This 481-nucleotide ribosomal RNA is filed under the name uncultured soil bacterium. RNAcentral's name for it is "bacterial SSU rRNA". It matches the Rfam family "Bacterial small subunit ribosomal RNA", at positions 26 to 518 of the family's 1533-position model. The record is from RNAcentral.